This 399-nucleotide unclassified non-coding RNA is filed under the name uncultured fungus. Its description in RNAcentral is "partial contains small subunit ribosomal RNA, internal transcribed spacer 1, and 5.8S ribosomal RNA". The stretch from base 1 to 73 matches the Rfam family "Eukaryotic small subunit ribosomal RNA", at positions 1759 to 1831 of the family's 1831-position model. Lineage: Eukaryota; Fungi. The record is from RNAcentral.
UCAAACUUGGUCAUUUAGAGGAAGUAAAAGUCGUAACAAGGUUUCCGUAGGUGAACCUGCGGAAGGAUCAUUAAAAAAUCAUGAGCGUACCGUACAUGCUAGCGUGUGUACGGUACGUAUGAGAGCCGCAAGGCUCUCUGAAUAUUUUGUGAACUGUGUGGACAGUACGAGGGGUAUGAUGUGGUGGGAUGUUGAAUGGAUGGAUAUGGGGUCUUGCCCCACCCAACCGGUAUAUAUCCUAAUCCUGUCUAUCUGCUGUACUGUCUAUUUUGAUAAUAUAUGUUAUAUAUUGAUGAAGUAUAAUGGGGAGGGAGGAGGAAACUCCAACCUCGCACAACAAUAUAUUAUACAACUUUCAACAGUGGAUCUCUCGGCUCUUGCAUCGAUGAAGAACGCAGC